This 301-nucleotide ribosomal RNA is filed under the name uncultured bacterium. RNAcentral's name for it is "partial 16S ribosomal RNA". It matches the Rfam family "Bacterial small subunit ribosomal RNA", at positions 509 to 809 of the family's 1533-position model. The record is from RNAcentral.
CAGUAGCCGCGGGAAUACGUAGGUGGCAAGCGUUGUCCGGAAUUAUUGGGCGUAAAGGGCUCGCAGGCGGUUUCUUAAGUCUGAUGUGAAAGCCCCCGGCUCAACCGGGGAGGGUCAUUGGAAACUGGGAAACUUGAGUGCAGAAGAGGAGAGUGGAAUUCCACGUGUAGCGGUGAAAUGCGUAGAGAUGUGAAGGAACACCAGUGGCGAAGGCGACUCUCUGGUCUGUAACUGACGCUGAGGAGCGAAAGCGUGGGGAGCGAACAGGAUUAGAUACCCCUGUAGUCCCUGUCUCUUAUAU